UAACCCCCGCCGGCGACCGGCGCACGGGUGAGUAACACGUAUGAAACCUGCCCGUAGCAGGGGGAUAAGCGGAAGAAAUUCCGUCUAAUACCGCGUAACAACCCGAGGAGGCAUCUCCUCGGGUUUAAAGGAAGCGAUUCCGGCUACGGAUGGUCAUGCGUCGCAUUAGCUAGUUGGCGGGGUAACGGCCCACCAAGGCGACGAUGCGUAGGGGUUCUGAGAGGAAGGCCCCCCACACUGGGACUGAGACACGGCCCAGACUCCUACGGAAGGCAGCAG
RNAcentral lists this ribosomal RNA (279 nucleotides) under uncultured bacterium. RNAcentral's name for it is "partial 16S ribosomal RNA". It matches the Rfam family "Bacterial small subunit ribosomal RNA", at positions 79 to 354 of the family's 1533-position model. The record is from RNAcentral.